UUAGACGAUAAGAGGAACCAAAAAAAUUAAUUUACGAUAUAAUAGAAAAAUCUUAACCUACUAUCUCUGUCUACUAUAAUUAGUAAUAAUUAUUGGAUAGGGUGCAUCCGUAGAUGCUAGGAUAAGUUGACAUUUAUACCCUACCCCUUCGGGGGGUGGUGUAGUGUUCUGAAUUUUAUUACUAUCGAUUAUUAUUCCCUUGAUCAUUUAUUAUUUAAUAAUUAGUGUUACGGAUGUUAAACUCAGUUAAUAUAACUUUUUAGGACAUUAUAUUAGCUUAUUAAUAUCUUUUUAUAGAUAAAAUUGAAGAAAUUUAUUUUUAUUUGUAAAGCACAAAGUUUUAAAUUAAUAAUUGAUUAUUACAGUAAUAAAGUCAGCCAUGAUAAAUUAUAAUAGUUUGGUGUCACAGAAUCGGAGGCCUCGACUGUUUACUAAAAACACAAGAAUGUGCAAUGAUAAAAGUCAUAGUAUACGUUCUGAAAUUUGCUCGAUGCCAUUAAUAUAAAAGAGGUAAUAGGUAACUGUUACUAAUUGAAAAUCUGGUUAAUAGCGGUCUUAACUAUGAGGAUCCUAAGGUAGCGAAAUAAAUUGGCCAUUAAAUGUGGUCCGGUAUCAAUAAUGUAACGAAGGUCUCACUGUCUCUACAACUUGCUCAGUGAAAUUGAAUUACCCGUGCAGAUGCGGGUUACCCCCAGUGGGACGGGAA
Molecule: ribosomal RNA, 706 nt
Filed under: Coniferiporia sulphurascens
Lineage: Eukaryota; Fungi; Basidiomycota; Agaricomycetes; Hymenochaetales; Hymenochaetaceae
Description: LSU rRNA
Rfam family: Bacterial large subunit ribosomal RNA (bases 354-638)
Source: RNAcentral